RNAcentral lists this ribosomal RNA (600 nucleotides) under uncultured bacterium. RNAcentral's name for it is "bacterial SSU rRNA". It matches the Rfam family "Bacterial small subunit ribosomal RNA", at positions 728 to 1333 of the family's 1533-position model. The record is from RNAcentral.
ACAGCAGUUUUACUGACGCUCAUGCUCGAAAGUGCGGGUAUCGAACAGGAUUAGAUACCCUGGUAGUCCGCACGGUAAACGAUGGAUGCCCGCUGUUUGCCAUUUGUGGUAAGCGGCCAAGCGAAAGCAUUAAGCAUCCCACCUGGGGAGUACGCCGGCAACGGUGAAACUCAAAGGAAUUGACGGGGGCCCGCACAAGCGGAGGAACAUGUGGUUUAAUUCGAUGAUACGCGAGGAACCUUACCCGGGCUUGAACUGCACAGGAAUGCGGGAGAGAUCCCAAAGCCCUUCGGGGCCUGUGUGGAGGUGCUGCAUGGUUGUCGUCAGCUCGUGCCGUGAGGUGUCGGCUUAAGUGCCAUAACGAGCGCAACCCUUCUCUUCAGUUGCCAUCACUUCGGGUGGGCACUCUGGAGACACUGCCACCGUAAGGUGUGAGGAAGGUGGGGAUGACGUCAAAUCAGCACGGCCCUUACGUCCGGGGCUACACACGUGUUACAAUGGCGCGUACAGAGGGCCGGCACUGGGCAAUCAGUGUCCAAUCCUUAAAACGCGUCUCAGUUCGGACUGGGGUCUGCAACCCGACCCCACGAAGCUGGAUUC